This is a long non-coding RNA of Eriocheir sinensis (Chinese mitten crab), 3964 nucleotides long. RefSeq lists it as uncharacterized. Lineage: Eukaryota; Metazoa; Arthropoda; Malacostraca; Decapoda; Varunidae. The transcript is spliced from 7 exons. The record is from RefSeq and is a predicted model, not a curated record.
GGAGGUCAUCCAGUUCAUGAACCUGAAAGAGUAUGAAGCAAAAUAUGACUGACAGACAGACUGAGGCAGAGAUGGGACGCUGCGAGUGACCCUUACUGCCUACAUACUGCACCUUGCUAUGCAGCCACACACACACACCAUUUUUUUCUUCCCCUGGCUCAGCGUCCUUCCCUUCCCUUGUGGUGUUGGCUGGGCCGUGAGUCUCCCACUCCUGGCUACGAUACACUCUCCUCCCUGGUGUUGGCCCUUGCCAGGUCUCCUCCCACACACCGUCUCCAGGCCUUCUUUGCCUCAUUUGGCCUCCUCCCUUCCACCUCCUCCACAGCCCCUCACAACACAUGUACAGAGGGAAGUAACACACACACACACAGAACUAUUAUUAUUAUUAUUAUUACUCUUCUCACUCAACACUUGCCACGUACAUCAUAUAAGAAACCUGGACAGACUCGACCAACACAGACACUCCUCCAGCAUCAAUUAUUAUUAUCAUCCUUAUAAUUACUAUUUCUCCCACACAUAAAACUUCAGGAAUCAACGACAAGCGCUACUCUUAUCUACAUUAGCCGGUGACCAACGUGUUACCAUUAUCAUCAUUAUUUUAUCAUCAUCAUGUGGUUCUUGAUUACAUUUUUAUUCAGUUUAUGUAAGGAGUAAUAUUUCAACCUUAAGUAUUGGGGGCACCUUCAGGGGUAGUUGUAUGACCCUGGUGGUAGUGUGACCCUUCCUCUGUACCAUGAACCUAAGAAACACACAUUGGACAAGGCUUUCAUAGGAGUCUUGGGGGUAUUUCCAGGGGUAGCAGUAUGACCCUGGUGGUAGUGUGACCCUUCCUCUGUACCAUGAACCUAAGAAACACACAUUGGACAAGAUUUUCGUAUAAGUCUUGGGGGCAUUUCCAGGGGUAGCAGUAUGACCCUGGUGGUAGUGUGACCCUUCCUCUGUACCAUGAACCUAAGAAACACACAUUUGACAAGAUUUUCGUAGAAGUCUUGGGGGCAUUUCCAGGGGUAGUUGUAUGACCCUGGUGGUAGUGUGACCCUUCCUCUGUACCAUGAACCUAAGAAACACACAUUUGACAAGGCUUUCGUAGGAGUCUUGGGGGUAUUUCCAGGGGUAGUUGUAUGACCCUGGUGGUAGUGUGACCCUUCCUCUGUACCAUGAACCUAAGAAACAUACAUUUGACAAGGCUUUCGUAGGAGUCUUGGGGGUAUUUCCAGGGGUAGUUGUAUGACCCUGGUGGUAGUGUGACCCUUCCUCUGUACCAUGAACCUAAGAAACACACAUUUGACAAGGCUUUCAUAGGAGUCUUGGGGGCAUUUCCAGGGGUAGUUGUAUGACCUUGUGAUAAUGAUAAUGAUAAUAAUAAUAAUAAUAAUGAUAAUAGUUAAAAAUGAUACCACAUAAGGAAUAUUUAGGCUGGUUCUCCUUCCCAGCUUUAAAAACGAGAUCCGGAAUAUAUACACACACACAUACAUAAAGGACUGGAUACUGAGGGAAAGGAAUCCAAUACCCUAUCCAAAUAACUGUUAGGAUUAAGAAGGAAGGGAAUCUAGGUUAUCCAAAUGACAGUAUAGGAUAGGACUGGAUACUAAGGGAAAGGAAUCCAAUACCCUAUCCAAAUAACUGUUAGGAUUAAGAAGGAAGGGAAUUUAGGCUAUCCAAAUGACAGUAUAGGAUAGGACUGGAUACUGAGGGAAAGGAAUCCAAUACCCUAUCCAAAUAAGUGUUAGGUUCAAGAAGGAAGGGAAUCUAAGUUAUCCAAAUGACAGUAUAGGAUAGCACUGGAUACUGAGGGAAAGGAAUCCAAUACCCUAUCCAAAUAAGUGUUAGGUUCAAGAAGGAAGGGAAUCUAGGUUAUCCAAAUGACAGUAUAGGAUAGGACUGGAUACUGAGGGAAAGGAAUCCAAUACCCUAUCCAAAUAAGUGUUAGGUUCAAGAAGGAAGGGAAUCUAGGUUAUCCAAAUGACAGUAUAGGAUAGGACUGGAUACUGAGGGAAAGGAAUCCAAUACCCUAUCCAAAUAAGUGUUAGGUUCAAGAAGGAAGGGAAUCUAGGUUAUCCAAAUGACAGUAUAGGAUAGCACUGAAUACCAAGGAAAAGGAAUCCAAUACCCUAUCAAAAUAAGUGUUAGGUUCAAGAAGGAAGGGAAUCUAGGUUAUCCAAAUGACAGUAUAGGAUAGGACUGGAUACUGAGGGAAAGGAAUCCAAUACCCUAUCCAAAUAAGUGUUAGGUUCAAGAAGGAAGGGAAUCUAGGUUAUCCAAAUGAAAGUAUAGGAUAGGACUGGAUACUAAAGGAAAAGGAAUCCAAUACCGUAUCCAAAUAAGUGUUAGGAUCGAGAGAGGAGAAGGGAAUUUAGCAUACCCAGAGAAGGAAGGAGAGUUUAACCCGGUAGCAGCGGGGAUCAUGUUUCUUAAUGGUCCCUCUAAGCGAGAAAAAUGAGAAAAAAUCACCCCUCACACAAACCAUUUCAUAAUAUAUACCGAAGCAUUUGUGAUCAGAUUAUGCAUCAUCUAUUUGGGGGGUUUAUAUCACGGCACAAAUUUGGCCCGUCGCUGGUACACGGUAAAGCCACAAAUUUGGCCCAUCACUGCUACACGGUAAAGCCACAAAUUUGGCCCGUCGCUGGUACACGGUUAAGACAGGACUGGAUACUGAGGGAAGAAUAAUAUAACUGAACUCUGAUAAUAAUAAUAAGCAUUGACUUACUCAUUUGCCUAUUUUGCUGCCUUAGGAUUUUCUACACUAAAAGAUGUUCCCUCCCUCCCUCAGUACUUUCAGUUGAUAGUGAUUGGUAAAACUGCAGAUUAAGACCACCGAUAUAGGAUGUUUUAGAGAGAGAGAGAGAGAGAGAGAGAGAGAGAGAGAGAGAGAGAGAGAGAGAGAGAGAGAGAGAGAGAGAGAGAGAGAGAGAGAGAGAGAGAGAGAGAGAGAGAGAGAGAGAGAGAGAGAGAGAGAGAGAGAGAGAGAGAGAGAGAGAGAGAGAGAGAGAGAGAGAGAGAGAGAGAAGAGAAAAUAUCGAACACAUUGCAUAAGACAACCUUCAUAAUCAAAACACUCCUUCUAAUCUAUAUUGUUCAAUACCAUAACACACACACACACACACACACACACACACACACACACAUCCACUGAACAAUACUUAAGGCCUUUUUGAACAAGUUUACACACACACACACACACACACACACACCAUCAUAUUUGGCUUGGGUGGUGAGGGAGGUGGUGGUGAUGGUGGUUAAAUGGAUAAAUAUAUAGACAAGUAAAUAAAUAGAUUGGAAGUUAUACAUGUUUAGUUUCAGGGUCAUUUUCUUAAAGUUUUUUGGCGGCCCAGCACACACAGUUUAAAGGCUUUCGUGGGAGUCUUGUGGGCAUUUCCAGGGGUGGUUUUGUGACCCUGGUGGUAGUGUGACCCUUCCUCUGUACCGUGAAUCUAAGAAACACACAUUUGGCAAGGCUUUCGUGGGAGUUGUGGGCAUUUCCAGGGGUGGUAGUGUGACCCUUCCUCUGUACCGUGAAUCUAAGAAACACACAUUUGACAAGACUUUCGUAGGAGUCUUGUGGGCAUUUCCAGGGGUAGUUUUAUGACCCUGGUGGUAGUGUGACCCUUCCUCUGUACCAUGAACCUAAGAAACACACAUUUGACAAGGCUUUCGUGGGAGUCUUGGGGGCAUUUCCAGGGGUAGUUUUAUGACCCUGGUGGUAGUGUGACCCUUCCUCUGUACCAUGAACCUGAAACACCACUCAUGAGAACACGACCAAUCUAUUUUAGGCCUCUGGAAAUAAUUAAUGAGAGGGGCAGUAACGAGCUUUUUCAGGUUAAUUUAUAUGAUUUUUAGGUCAUCUCGUACUAUUUUGGGGUCAGAAUUUUCUUUUCCUGUUGGGUAACUUUACUUUUUUUUGUGUGUGUGUGAGAAUUUUUAAUCUUUUUUUCUUUCUUUUUUUCAAUGCCGUCAUCACAACCAC